GGAAGAUUAACCCUGAGCUAACAUCUGCCACCAAUCCUCCUCUUUUUGCUGAGGAAGAUUGGCCAUGUGCUAACAUCUGUACCCAUCCUCCUCUACUUUAUAUGUGGGACACCUGCCACAGCAUGGCUUGGUAAUCGGUGUGUAGGUCCACACCUGGGAUCCGAACCAACAAACCCAAGGUCACUGAAGCAGAGCGUGCGAAUUUAACUGCUACUCCACCAGACUGGCCCCCCAAAAUAUAUUUUUUUUAGACUUUAGGAAAUCUAUUUCUGUAAUUGAUAAGAAAAACAGUGAAACCUUUAAAGCCCUCAAAGGUCAUGUAGAUGCAGUUACUUUUGUAAGCAUCCUUUGUUGAAAGAGGCCCAGAAGAAGUUGAGAAGAUGGAGAGAUGCAGCAAGGUGGGAGUGCAGAGAGUGUGGAGAAGGUGAAUUAAGCAGGGAUGAUAAAAACCAAAUAACUACAAAAGCCUUCUGUAAGAGAGGCAUCCGAAUUGACAGGUGCCAUUACCAUAAGCAUUAAAAUUUUGGAAUGAAGCAAAGAAAAACGGGAAGAUGGGUUUGACAAAGUGAGAAAGGAUAUCUCACGGUGAAUGUCACUCAUCUGACCUUGGCUUAGCUUCUUUUUUUUUUAUUGCAGUAACAUUGGAUUAUAACAUUACAUAACUUUCAGGUGUACAUCGUAAUAUAUUUCAAAUUCUGUGUAGAUUACAUCAUGUUCACCACCCAAAGACUAAUUACAAUCCAUCACCACACACAUGCCUAGUCAUGCCUUUUGCCCUUUCCUUUCCUCCCUUCCCCUAUAGUAAACACCAAUCCAAUCUGUUGCUAUGUGUUUGUUUGUCGUUGUUUUUAAUCUUCUACUUAUGAGUGAGAUCAUAUGGUUUUUUACUUUCUCCCUCUGACUUAGUUCACUUAGCAUAACACCCUCAAGGUCCAUCCAUGUUGUCACAAAUGGCUGGAUUUCAUCACUUCUUAUGGCUGAGUAGUAAUCCUUUAUGUAUAUAUACCUCAUCUUCUCUAUCCAUUCGUCCCUUGAUGGGCACCUAGGUUGCUUCCAAGUUUGACUAUUGUGAAUAAUGCUACAGUAAACAUAGAAGUGCGUGUAUCUUUAUGCCUUUAUGUUUUCAAGUUCUUUGGAUAAAUACCCAGCAGUGGAAUAGCUGGAUCAUAUGGUAGAUCUAUUCUUAAUUUUCUGAGGAUACUCCGUACUGCUUUCCAUAGUGAUUGCAGCAGUUUGCACUCCCACCAGCAGUGUACCAGGGUUCCCUUCUGUCCACAUCCUCUUCAACACUUGUUUCCCGUCUUGUUAAUCAUAGCCAUUCUAACUGGAGUGAGGUGAUAUCUCAUUGUAGUUUUGAUUUGCAUUCCCCUGAUAGCUAAUGAAGUUGAACAUCUUUUCAUGUGCCCUUUGGCCAUCCGUAUAUCUUCUUUGGAGAAAUCUCUGUUCAGAUCUUUUGCUCAUUUUUAAUUGGGUUGUUGGUUUUUUGUUGUUGAGACAUAUGAGUUCUUUGUAUAUUUUCGAUAUUAACCCCUUAUCUGAUGUAUGGUUUGCAAAUGUCUUCUUCCAAGUGUUAGGUUGUCUUUUUGUUUUGUUGAUGGUUUCUUGGCUUAGCUUCUUAAUGUAUUUAUUAUUGCUGAUGCCUCUACUUGGGUAGGAGAACUUGGUUGAAAGGACAGCUGUGUUGAAAGGACAGAUCCGUUACUCAGGAGAGAAAACUGCUUACAUAGCCACCUCAGUGCAUCCUUCGUGAUCCAUCAUUCUUCAGCAAACCAAGGUCAAUUAAUAAAUGGUUCAUCCAGGCUAAUUGUGCAAUGAGUGAACCAGACAAGGAUGUGAUGGUUAUUUCCCUGCCCCACCCCUCCAGGGGGCUGCCCCUGACUUAGCCAGAUGCUCACUCAGAACUUUUGGCUGUUCAUAAUGAGACUCCAAGAAUUUGGAAUGGUUCCAGAUGGGUCACAGGUGUCUGCAGAAGGUUGACUACACUGAAGGGGAUAUCAAGCCUCCGACUGGCCAUCAGUUUUCUGCUGGAUGCUCAUCCUUGUUACCUACCAGUCUCUCAUGAGCUUAUCUGUGUGAGUUCAUACCAGGGAGAUGGAGUCGUAUGGUGGACGGACUGAAGGAGGCCCCAAGCCUGCAAGAGUAGAGUCACCGAGUUCUCCCAGCCACCAGCCUGGGUUUCUGGAAACUUUCACGGGCAUGUUGAAGAUGAUCAUGUUGUCCACAAAUUGCCCUUCAUUAAAAAAGCCUUUAAGAUGAGGACCGUAUUUGUUCCCAUGGAGAUACAGCAGCCAGAAUUAGUUUGGCACAGAGACGCCCUUGAGUGCAUGUCUGAGAAGGUUGCUCCAGAUGCUGUGUUCUACCUCCUCACAGAGGCAGAUGCGACCUAGAACAUCUUGCUGUAGUUUUCUACAUAAAAUGAGUGCAGUCACUUGCUUUUCCUCCCUUCCUUUCCCUUGCCCUCUGCAUAGUUGCGGCUCAUCUCAACUGCCCUCCCCCAUUGCCUGCAUCUUCCCUGGAAGUGGAGGAUGUUGGCAGAGUUAGGGCUGUGGGAACAGGUACCAGUCAGAAAGGAGGAGGGGCCUGAUGGGGUGAGCUGAGUAAGGACCCCAUGGUGAGGCUUUGGGAGCCUGGGGAGCAGCUCAGGGCACGGGUGAACCUGAGGUGAUGGCCUUGAGCGUGUGGGCCACUGGAGAGUGACUCACUAUCUGGGUUAUGUUUGACUUAUUUUUCUUAAUUUUUAAAACUUUUAGUUAAAAUAAUAAUAUGUUGGGAAAUACAGAGAGGAACAAAGAAAAAUAAAAAAUCAUCCAGCUCCAGAGAUAAACACGGCUAAUUUUUUUUCCAGGUGCAUGCUCGCUCUCUAAACAAGCAG
This is a long non-coding RNA of Equus caballus (horse), 2872 nucleotides long. NCBI's taxonomy places the organism in Eukaryota, Metazoa, Chordata, Mammalia, Perissodactyla, Equidae. The record is from Ensembl.